CAGGUCUUGACAUCCUCUGACAAUCCUAGAGAUAGGACGUCCCCUUCGGGGGCAGAGUGACAGGUGGUGCAUGGUUGUCGUCAGCUCGUGUCGUGAGAUGUUGGGUUAAGUCCCGCAACGAGCGCAACCCUUGAUCUUAGUUGCCAGCAUUCAGUUGGGCACUCUAAGGUGACUGCCGGUGACAAACCGGAGGAAGGUGGGGAUGACGUCAAAUCAUCAUGCCCCUUAUGACCUGGGCUACACACGUGCUACAAUGGACAGAACAAAGGGCAGCGAAACCGCGAGGUUAAGCCAAUCCCACAAAUCUGUUCUCAGUUCGGAUCGCAGUCUGCAACUCGACUGCGUGAAGCUGGAAUCGCUAGUAAUCGCGGAUCGGCAUGCCGCGGUGAAUACGUUCCC
RNAcentral lists this ribosomal RNA (399 nucleotides) under uncultured Bacillus sp. RNAcentral's name for it is "bacterial SSU rRNA". It matches the Rfam family "Bacterial small subunit ribosomal RNA", at positions 975 to 1375 of the family's 1533-position model. Lineage: Bacteria; Bacillati; Bacillota; Bacilli; Caryophanales; Bacillaceae. The record is from RNAcentral.